Molecule: ribosomal RNA, 450 nt
Filed under: uncultured bacterium
Lineage: Bacteria
Description: partial 16S ribosomal RNA
Rfam family: Bacterial small subunit ribosomal RNA
Source: RNAcentral
GUGGGGAAUCUUCCGCAAUGGACGAAAGUCUGACGGAGCAACGCCGCGUGAGUGAUGAAGGUCUUCGGAUUGUAAAGCUCUGUUAAUCGGGACGAAAGAGCCUAGUGUGAAUAAUGCUAGGAAGUGACGGUACCGGAAUAGAAAGCCACGGCUAACUACGUGCCAGCAGCCGCGGUAAUACGUAGGUGGCAAGAGUUGUCCGGAAUUAUUGGGCGUAAAGCGCGCGCAGGCGGAUCUGCCAGUCUGUCUUAAAAGUUCGGGGCUUAACCCCGUGAUGGGAUGUAAACUACAGAGCUAGAGUAUCGGAGAGGAAAGUGGAAUUCCUAGUGUAGCGGUGAAAUGCGUAGAUAUUAGGAAGAACACCAGUGGCGAAGGCGACUUUCUGGACGAAAACUGACGCUGAGGCGCGAAAGCCAGGGGAGCGAACGGGAUUAGAUACCCGGGUAGUCC